ACUUGGCAAAUCAUACCACACAGUGUACUGAAGCAUAACUACUUUUAUUUCCUAAAUCAGCUAUAUAUGAAUUUAGCUUGUUUAUAGUGUACAGUUUCAUAUUCAUAAACCUUGUAUUAUAAAAGGUUUGGUUAGAUUAUGAGGUAAGUGAGGUUAGGUAAUUUGAGUUAAUAUCUGUUGAACUCUUACUUACCCAACCUAAUCUAACCUUACCUUAUCAAGCCUAAUCUAACCAACUCUUACAUAACCUAAUUAAACCUUUGUAGCCUAGAAUAAUCCUUUACAGGUAAACAGCUUUUCAAGAGAGUUGGGUAUUUAUCUGUGGAAAUAAUAAUAUUUUUUGUACAUGAAGCUGUGACUGAAACAGUGCAAUGCUUCCCAGCAGCUGUGUAUUUCUGCCACUUCAUAGAGAAAUAACUAGAACUUUGUUAACAUAAUAAAAUUCCGUACAGGUGAAAAAUGUUAGCAUCCAGAAAAAAUGAUGCAAACCUCUACUAAAUAUUUACUGAAGGCUUAACUUAGGGAAAUAAACCCUGGAACUAAGGGGCAGAAACCCUAAAACUCUCUGAUCUUCUUAACCCCUUGACUGCAGAUUUCCUACAGUCAGACAUCACCAAGCUACAGGAAAGGAACAAAAAGUGGCUGCUACAAUUCAAUGAAGAAAAAUGUAAAGUCCUGCACCUUGGGAGGGGAUAUCCAGCACACCAAUACCACAUGGGAAACACUCCACUAUCCACCACAGAGGCAGAGAAGGACAUGGGAGUAUAUGUUACCGGGCUACCAGUAAAAGCCAGAUCCGUGCCAAUCGCAGCGGACGGGUUAUGAGGAAGAGAAAGUGAAGGAGUUACAAAUGCAUAGUUCUUUGAUACAUGAAACUCAUACACUAGGAGGCAAAAAAGGGAUCCAUCCAUCUCAUCUCAUUAACAUAACUCUAGUCCUGAUAUUUCAACAGGUAUUUGUCAUUUGUCACAGACCACUUUGCCUACAGGCACUACACAGACAGGUGUAUUUACCGACAUACAAGGGGUAUAGGUUAUCUCAUUUAUCACAUUUACUGACAUACAAGGGUGUAGGGUACCUCAUUUAUCACAUUUACUGACAUACAAGGGGUGUAGGUUAUCUCAUUUAUCACAUUUACUGACAUACAAGGGGUGUAGGUUAUCUCAUUUAUCACAUUUACUGACAUACAAGGGGUGCAAGUUACCUCAUUGAUCACAUUUACUGACAUACAAGGGGUGUAGGUUACCUCAUUUAUCACAUUUACUGACAUACAAGGGGUGUAGGUUACCUCAUUGAUCACAUUUACUGACAUACAAGGGGGGCAGGCUAUCUCAUAAACACAUGGAACAGCUUGCGGGAAGAGGUGGUGGAGGCAUACAGUGCCCAACAAAUGAUGGAAAGGCAAAGGAAUGUAGAUAUGGAGACGGGACUAUUAGAGCUUAGCCCGGGCCCGGUAGACUACAAACAGGUCAAUACAAAUAGGUAAAUACACACACACACACACACACAAAACCUGCCUUGAUUGCCCAUCUGGGCUAUAUUUUCUGUCCUUCAUACUAGUCAAUGCUGCCCUGCACUGCCUACUCUCUCCCACAUACAGCAGCACAACACAACACCUCAGAGGUGAAUCUUCACAUGUCUGGUAAUCUCAGCUCUGGUCAUGAAACGCUUUCCACAACCAUCACAUUUGAACCCUUUGUGACCAGUGUGUCUUAUGCUAUGUCUCUUCAGGUAUGACCUUAAACAGAAUUUUUUCCCACAAACUUCACAUUCAUGAUUUCUCUCACCAGUGUGUGUAAGGAUGUGUGUGUUGAGGUGACUCUUCCGAUUAAAUUUUUUCCCACAAACUUCACAUUCAUGAUUUCUUUCACCAGUGUGUGUAAGGAUGUGUGUGUUGAGGUGACUCUUCCGAUUAAAUCUUUUCCCACAAACUUCACAUUCAUGAUUUCUCUCACCAGUGUGUGUAAGGAUGUGUGUGUUGAGGUGACUCUUCUGAUUAAAUCUUUUCCCACAAACUUCACAUUCAUGAUUUCUCUCACCAGUGUGUGUAAGGAUGUGUGUGUUGAGGUGACUCUUCCGAUUAAAUCUUUUCCCACAAACUUCACAUUCAUGAUUUCUCUCACCAGUGUGUGUAAGGAUGUGUGUGUUGAGGGUACUCUUCUGAUUAAAUCUUUUCCCACAAACUUCACAUUCAUAAUUU
Molecule: long non-coding RNA, 2200 nt
Organism: Eriocheir sinensis (Chinese mitten crab)
Lineage: Eukaryota; Metazoa; Arthropoda; Malacostraca; Decapoda; Varunidae
Exons: 3
Source: RefSeq, a predicted model, not a curated record